GAGUUCAUAAAUGUAUUAAACAUGCAGCAAAGGAUGUACAUCCAGUUGAAAGGACUGGGUGGACUUCUCAAGACACCUAGCAUCAAAAUUAGACGUGUACUCUGCCUGGCCAUCGCUAAUUCAUAUGAUGCAGAGCAGGAUGCCUUUAUCAUCAAUGGGAGACCAUGUAGGAUCACACUAGAAGAUGUAGCGCAUAUAACAGGCAUGCCUUGCCAUGGGAAGAAGCAUGUCCCUUCAAAUCUUGAUGAUAAUAUGGAGUUGUGGAAAAAACUGAAAGACCGUAAUGACACCAAAAUAACUUUCAAAGGAUUGCUAGCCAAGAUGAAAUUUGACAGCACACCAAAUUUUGUCAGGCCAUUUGUCUUGUACACCAUAGGAAAAUAUGUAUGUCGAACAAAAGAGGAGUAUGUGGAUAACAAAUAUAUUGGGAUUGUUAGAAACAUUGAGACGAUAAAGGGCACAAAUCUUGGACAGCUAACGCUUGACUAUCUUAUCGAUAGCGUGAAGAAUUUUGUAAAUGGUGAGGCAACUCUCGAGGGGAAUCUACCACUACUGCAGGUA
This 561-nucleotide ribosomal RNA is filed under the name Triticum aestivum (bread wheat). RNAcentral's name for it is "partial small subunit ribosomal RNA". The record is from RNAcentral. Lineage: Eukaryota; Viridiplantae; Streptophyta; Magnoliopsida; Poales; Poaceae.